This 1476-nucleotide long non-coding RNA is filed under the name Helianthus annuus (common sunflower). Its description in RNAcentral is "hypothetical non coding rna". The record is from RNAcentral. Lineage: Eukaryota; Viridiplantae; Streptophyta; Magnoliopsida; Asterales; Asteraceae.
AUGUGGGUUGUUAAUAGUAAUGUAUUUCUGAUUCUGACUUCAUCCAGAUUAAGUACUUCAACAAUGGAUUUUGUACGUUAUAUAUCCUAUGCUUUUAAAUAAGUGAAAUUUAGAAUCCUAUGUUCAUCUAUGUAUAUAUGUUCAUCUAUGUAUAACUGCAUGCUAUUGAAAUUGUCAAUGUGUAGAGCUUGGCAUUCUAUGGACAACUUUUUGACCUUUUCCUUUUUUUAGGAGGCUCGGAUCGUUUGAACAUUCUCUAAAGUUCGCUAUUGUACUUUUAAGGUAGGUGUUAACAAAUUAUGUUUUAUGCCUUAUUGAAGUUUUGUUUAUUUCUUUUGUGGUUUACUAAAUUUUUCUUAACUUUCCGUCUGGAUAUGCAUACAUGUUAGACGUUAAUACUAUUAUCGUGUUUACUAUUUAUUAUUCUGGUCAUUCGUCUGGUUAUGCAUACAUGUUAGAGGUUAAUACUAUUGUCAUGUUACUGUUAUGAUAUUUUUAGUUGUAUUUUAAGAUGUCAUCAUCACGUAAGCGUACUAGCCCCCCCCCCCAGUAAGCUACGCCCUUGAUGACAUUUAUGACCAAACCCCAUGCAUGCCAACGCAUAAUGCUUUUAGUUUCAUGUCAGUUAUAAAAUAGAAAAAAAAACACACUUUUAUUACAUUAAUGUCUCUUUCUACAUAUUAUGUUAGCUCUGGCAUUUUACUCAAAAUGUUGAAAUAGUCAAAUAUAAAGCACGUCAGGCGCGCGCCUAGGCGCUCGGGCGCAGCAGGCGAGCCUAUAGCGCCUGGUGGUAGCUUAGGCGCAAACAUGGGCUUUUUUUGUAAAAGCGGUGCUCAGGCGCGCGCCCCGGACUAAGGCGCGCUAAGGCGUAACGAGUAAAAAGCGCGGGCUUAAUUCUAUCAGAGUUUUUUUACAGCUGUAAACCAUAUUUUUUAAUGUUAUUUUUAAAGUUUUUAAACUUUUGGUACUAACUAUUAGCUACAUGAUCUUAAAUGGCAUAUAUAAUAGUUUUUUUAUACGUGGAAUCUUAUUUAUUUUCAAAGCAUAACAUAUUUUUAUAUUUUUUUCUCUAUGUGCGCUUUUCUUAAAAAAGCCCAUACUUUUUUUGCGCCUUGCGUCUAGGCUCCGGGCGAGGCCUAUGCGCCUCGCCUUGCGUCUUUGACAACAUGGCACUUAUAGGGUUCCAAAGUUCAUUGAUCUUCAUUUUGUUUACAACAGAUUCAUGAGAAAAUAGAAGACAGCUGGGAUGGGAAGAGAUAAUCAAGAAGGGUGGAUAUAUCAGCUUAUCCGGGAUCAGGUGCGAAUGAUCGUUAUAUGCUAAUGCCUUGACAAGGGAUCUGUUGAGUUUCACAUAACUUUAUAUAACUAAUACCUGGAAAAUAUUGAAUAUGCAACCAUCUAUGUACAUUCUAUCAAACACAUAAUAUACUUGGAUUUUCUUUUAUUGUAUGUGCCUAAAUAAUGGCUAACUUGGUU